AGUUUGCAAGGGCCAUAAAAAAUUCAACUAAAUGGCACACCUCGAUUUCUAAAGGAUUAAAGUUAAUUAAGUGAGGCUUAUGGGUGUUGAAAUUUUGUUUGUAAUGGCACACCUCGAUUCCGAUUUUAAAGGAAGCUCAAACUAAGCUUUUGAGGACCAUAAACUAUAUCUUACUUAAUAUGGUACGCCUCAAAUCUAUUUUAAAUAGUCUACUUAAUUAAGAAAAGCUUAAAGAAAUUCUAGUUAUUUUUCUAACAAAAGGUUCGAACCUAAUUAGCAACUAACAUGCAUUGUAAUAAGCAACCAAUUAUCUAAAGAAAUAUUGCUUCAAAAACAGUAGACUAAACGAGGAGACUGGGUUCGACAAAACAGGCCCAAAUAGCAUAAGGUAUACAAUCCCAUUUGCAAGUGCCUUCAGGCUUGGGCCCAAAAUGAGUCCAAAUUUAGCAAGAUAAUGAGCACCAAACGAGGGACAUGAAAUUGAAUGUUUAUCAGUCGGGCCAACAUUAGGCCCAAAUCUUAGAACCAAAUAAUUUGUACAGAAUCAAUUAAACGCAGUUCAACUAAUGCUACAUGAAACAUGAAAUCGAAUUAACAUUUUAACAUCUUAAUUUAAACUAUUUAAGUAAAACUCAACUAGUUAAACUUCUAAAUUUUAUCUUUCACGCAUUUUGGGUCAAGUCUGCUGCGGGAAAAAUCCAGCAGGCAAACAAACGAGCUAGUGGGCUCAAGAAUCAAGCCACGUAGUAAUGGCAUACCAUCCUUCCUUGCAAAUGACCUUAGAGCCUAAGGCCCAAGGAACCUAAACCUUGCAGAAGCCGAGGCUGAGGAUCAUAACUCAAUAUCGAGUCCAUACAAUAAUAAAAUUAUCAUUUGCACCCAACAAUACCAAACAAACAUGGUAGAUUUCAUAAAUAUACAUCAGCUGGGUCGCAUAGAAGCUUCAAGGGGUACUGACUCAUAUUACACUGAAAAAAACACACUCUUGACCUUAAUUAUACUGAUAACAAAACCAACCAAAUUUUCAUGCUUAAAUUUAAUUCUAGGCUAAUUCACUAAUGAACAUAUGAAAUUUAACCUCAGCUAAAUCUUUUCUCAAUAUCAACAGCAACAAAAUUCGGGAAAUUAACACCAUUCACUUGAAUCCAAACAUUACACCUACCCUCUCAAAUAGCACUGAUUCAUUCUUACAGCGUAUUAAUUGUAAGGCCCGUGAAAACCUAUACUCAAAAACCUAGUAGCUCAUGGUGCCAUGUUUUGAAUAUGUGUUAGGAAUCCACGGUUCGAACCGUUUGUUCUGAUCUAGCAUUUAAAAAUUAAGAAUAAAAGUUUUACAGAAAAGUGCUAUUAUGCGAUCCAGAAUGCGAUCGCAAAUCAAGUAUGUGGACCACAUUUCUGCCGCAGAGUGAGUCAGUGUGUUAGCUAAUUUGAGAUUAAAGAUGCCGUCUAUUAUGCGAUCGCAUAAUCGAUCUGCGGACCGCAUAGUCGUCGCAUAAUUUCCUUGGAAACUUAUGAAGGUUAGUUCUGCAGUGCAUUAUGCAACCACAAAACGGGUAUGCAAACCGCAUUUCCGGUGCAUUUCCAAACAAAAUGUUCAGAUUUUGGGAGCCUUUUUUCGGUCCAAUCUGCGGCCCGCAUUUCCACUUUGCGAUCGCAAAGCUGACUUGGGCUCUUAUUUUUCUAAAUUUUCAACCCGACCCCUUCUUUAAUAAAACACCCCAACCCUUCAUUUUAACAUAUUUUUUGAACAAAAAUAGAGAGAGUGAAGAUAGAAUUAUUGAGAGAGAAAGUCCUACCUUUAUCAAUUUGAUUCCUUAAAGUCACCUGGGCCGGAAAAUUUCAAGUAAUUAUCUUCAUCUUCGUUCUUGCAGGUAAAAUCCCCAACCAUUUUCAUUGGUAUUCAGAANNNNNNNNNNNNNNNNNNNNNNNNNNNNNNNNNNNNNNNNNNNNNNNNNNNNNNNNNNNNNNNNNNNNNNNNNNNNNNNNNNNNNNNNNNNNNNNNNNNNNNNNNNNNNNNNNNNNNNNNNNNNNNNNNNNNNNNNNNNNNNNNNNNNNNNNNNNNNNNNNNNNNNNNNNNNNNNNNNNNNNNNNNNNNNNNNNNNNNNNNNNNNNNNNNNNNNNNNNNNNNNNNNNNNNNNNNNNNNNNNNNNNNNNNNNNNNNNNNNNNNNNNNNNNNNNNNNNNNNNNNNNNNNNNNNNNNNNNNNNNNNNNNNNNNNNNNNNNNNNNNNNNNNNNNGGGGGGAUUCUCAUUCAUCAAUUCUUGAUAAUAUGAGUUGAACCAUACAUGCAUGUCCUUUAAAGCCUAAAAUCUAGUGAGAGGAAUUGGGUAGAAGUAAAGAUUUGCAGAAGAGGGGUUAAUAAUCUAAGUAAGUUUGGGUUGAGUUUGUGAACUUUAAUUCUAAGUUAUAUGUGUUAACUUAUGAACUAGACUGUCGGUACUAGGCUGUUGGUGAAUUGAAAGUAGACGAUAAAAGGGAAUUUGACUCUCAGGUAUGUAUGACUAACUUUAACGUUUGUGAAGUCACCUUGUUUGGUGUACGAGUAAUUGGUAUGUGUUACUUAUGUGGACUAUUUUUGAAUUCUUGUGAUUAUAAUGCCUCGAACGAUGUUGGUUAAGUUUCUCGAUAUAAUGGUGUAAGUAAAUGGCAACAAACCAAAUAUGUGUGUGUAUGAAUGUAUUUACGUGGUAAGAGCUGUGUAACAAAUGAUGGAAAGAAAUCGCAAUUGAUGCAAUUGAAAAAUGUUGUGGUAAUAUCAUAUGUGACUUGUCUUGGGCAAUUAUCGUUGUGACUUAAAUAUACGGGUUGUUGUAUUUGAUGGAAAUGGUAUUGAUGUUUAUGAAAAUUCUUUCUAAAUUGACUCACCUGUGCUCACUUCCAUUUAAAAAAUCAUAUUGGAUUUCUAAUUGGUUCUCAACAGAAGGGUGGAAAACCUCUGAAAGGAAAGGCAGAUUUAAUACUAUCCAUUGUCUCGCUAAGGUCAGUAGCAGGACAUAGAGCAGGGAUUGAGUAGUAUUGGGAGGCGGACUUAUAUUCCUCCGUUACGAGUUGACGACGUUUUCACUACUCAAACUUGUUCCAGUAGGUAGACACUUCCUUAUCAGAGAACCGUACGUUAGACUUCUACCUCAUACGGCUCCAUCCCGAGCUUUUGUCGUCGUCCUUGGCAUUAAACCACUAUCUAUGCAUAUAUUUUCAGCCUGGACUAACGAAUCUUUGUGGAAGGCAAGCAAUAAAUCCAAUCCGUUUAAAAGAGAACCUGAAUCCCCUCUUUCUGCCCUACUUCAUGCCAAUCACUCUCCUUCCUUCCCCAAGAGCUACUAGUUGUAGCCUUUGGCUACCAUGAGAGCCUUGUAGUGAUCAAUAUCCCCAUCAGACUUUGACUUUCUCGGAAGUGAGCACAGGUGAGAGGACCCCACUUUCCCACAUUCAUCUCCCCACGAGCAGAACACCAGAGAUGCAUAGCCCAGCUUCGGAUUCUCCUUAAGGCACCGCGUUGAGUAGGGAUUUGAAUAGAAACUCUAUUUUGGUUUGGCAAAACAAUUAUUUGGUUAUGUUAUUUUGGGAUUUGCUUUAACCGAAGCUAUUGCCUUGUUUUCCUUAAUGAUGGCCUUCUUAAUCCUCCUUGCGAUGCAAAGGCAAUGUCAGGGAGUCCGACUUUUCAAUAGAAACAAAGAUCAAGCAGGGUGGCCAUAGUGAGAUAGAGUGGUGAAACUGGGUUCCGAAUAAAAAUAGAGCUCGAGGUCAAUCCUUUCUUUUAGGAGAUAUCCCACCCCUUCUUUAGUGCUUGUUCAUUCUAUAAGACUUUCUUCUCGUUAUCGGUGCCUCCCCUUUCCUCUGAGGCCGAUCGCAUCCACUUUUGGAGCCCCUCUUCUCUGAGGAGAUCACGAAUUCCCCUGCCGACUGAGAGAUUCAAUUCAUGGGAUUCUCUGGUGGAGGUUGGCUAAAGGUCACAUGUCGACCUAUUUGUGUUGCGGCGCAAAGAAUGGUACUCGAAUCCAUUUACGAUCUCGAGUUUCCAGACACAUUGCACUUCCGCUCGGGUCGAGGCUUCCACUCCGUCCUAAGACGUAUCAAAGAAGAGUGGGUCUCAUGCACUAGAAGCGAGACCUGAAGGGCAACCUAUCUUCAGUAGGGGCCUUUAGUCUUUUGAUUAGAGUAGGGGUAUACUGAACACGAACCCGAUAUCAAAGAACUAAAGAGGAAGCUAGUCGAUCAUUCAACAGUAGAAAUCUUACCGCAGGAUCCAACCUGCCACCUUUCUUCUCUUAUGAUAUUUCUUGAAAAUUCGAGCCUUCUAUCAAAGAACGGUUAUGAGAAGGGUAACGUGCUUGGGCGAGACAUUGUUGUUGUCGUGUGAAAUGUAAUUGUCCAGUGGGAUCGGCUUGCGCGCCGCAACACGAAGUUAUAAGGGGGAUUUUGGUGAUAAAGGUGGCCGAGGGAAUAAGGGUUGUGCUUAAUAUGCCUUGAACAUUGUUGGUUAAACGUUCCGAUAUGAUGGUAUGAAUAAAUGGCAACAAACCAAGCGUGCGUGUGAAUGUGUUUAUGUGAUAAGGGCUGUGUAAUAAAUGAUGGAAAGAAGUCAUAAUUGAUGCAAUCGAAACAACUGUGGUAACAUCAUGUGUGACUUUAACUGUGAACUAUUUUUGUUGUGUGAGAUGUGAUUAUCUGGUGGGAUCAGGUUGUGUGCCGCAACACGAAGUUAUAAGGUAUGAUUUUGGUGAUAAAGGUGGCCGAGGUAAUAAGGGUGGAAAAGUGAUUGAAAUCACUAUUGAAAUGAGAAUAUGUGAAAGUUGUGAAAUCACUGAUGAGAUAGAAUAAUGUUGAUAGGGGAAAAUGAGAGAUUAUUAAACUUGUUUGGCUUUGGUUGUUCCUUUCAUGUGCAUUUGAUUGUUGAUUCUAUUACUCUUUGUAAUAUGUGUAUUGAUUGAUUUUACUUGGGGAAAAGUUUGUUCAUACAUACUAGUACAAUUCAAAUGUACUGACAUCCCUUUACCGGGGGUACUACAUUCGUGUUAUGAGUGUAGGUGGUUCCAUAGCAGGUACUCCAGUCCACCGACAGUAGCACCUCCUCCACUUCCCGUCAGCUGAAUUGGUGAUCCCCUUUCCUCUCGGGGCCCUGUGUGGCUCACGCUGCUUGUUCUUGCGAAAUCUUAUUUUAGUAUUUGUGUAAGGUAUAGCCGGAGCCUUGUUACCGACAAGUAUUGUAACACUCUUUUGUAUCCCUAGAGGCUCCAUAGAUAGAAAAUGUGGGUUAUAUACUUAUGUAUUUUGUAUUUGGUAGUGUAACUUGUAAACCACACUAAGUAACUAUGCAUGUUAUAUAAAUCUCGUAAGAACAUGUUUAAAUUUGUAAAUGGCUAUUCACUUGGUUAUGGAUAAUGAAAAAGCGGGGUAACACGUGGGAUAGGAAAGGUACCCAGGUCCGCUUGAUUGGGGCUACCCGGUCGAGCACUGAUUAUGCCCCUCGGUUUUGGGGCAUGACAUUAAUGACAUGAGAAAACUGAAAUAACAUAUACAACUUAAGAUUUACUGCAUAAUGAUAUGGAAUUGGAAGAAACAGAAGAAGUAAAACUCAAAGCACAAUUUGUAUUCACUCAGGUUUCCACUCGAAAUAUGUGUUUAGAAUCACUUUCCAUCCAUUUUUUAAAAUAUACCUGGAAAUUAAAACGGAACCAUAAGGGAUGAGGAGUUAACAAAUAGCUGCAAUAGAAUCAGCUUAACAAACCCAUCAAAAGAAUAAUACCCCAAACAGCAACUUAAACCAACUUUUAAACCCAAACUCGAGCCACUUUUACCCAGAUGCACAAUUUUUGGAAAAUUUUCAGAAGUUCUAAACCAACAAUGGGAUUCAGAGAACCAAACAACCAAAACCAAUUUGAGCAAUUUUCAGUAUUUUUGGAAUUUGAAACGGAACUCAGUUGCUUCUGAAAUUUCAGUAUUUUUUUAGCCUUUGUUCAAUCUCUAAACCUCUAAAAUAUAACUUGUGUUUGAAGAAACAAUGCUUUUAUAAAGAGCUUUUAUGGUAGAAGAAAUGAGUUAAGUUUUUGCCUUUUACCCUUUUUCAAAUUUUUAGUUUUGCUCGUUUGUCCUUAGUUUGAAAAUCAGCUUUCAAAAUUAGUCCCAAUCCCAUCUUAUGGGCAACUUCCUAAGUUAGUUACAAGAGAUUCCCUAACCUAAAAUUCCUAAACUAACCUUUAAACCCCUAUUUUUUACUCCUUAAACAAAAUGGGUCAAGCCUGACCCAAGGCUUAAACACAAUGAAUGGGCUGCCUUUUUGAAAAUUGUUCAGAAUUGACCCAAAGCCUAAACAAUAGGUGAUCCAAACUAAAAUUCUAUGAUUUUAUCAAAAGCAGUAGAAAAUAAAUACUUAAAUGAUUUGAAAACUAAAAUUAACUACAUGACUGAUUAAUAACAGAAAUGGACAUGGAAUUAACUAGGUUAUUAUAUCACAAAAGACCUAAUCAAAAUGACUACAAAACUAAAAUAAGAAGACAAAAAUCAAGAUUUUAACAUGGCAUGGAAUAAAGCUAGCAGGUCAACAACAAUUAGAGAGCAAACUUUUAAGAUUUGAAAAUAAAACUAAGAAGCCAACGAAACAAAUAUGAACACAAAAUUAAUCUAAAGGGAAAACCUAGGUUCAGAACUUUCCUCGAAUUUCAGUCAAAAUAAAAACUGAUGAAAGAAAGGAAGAAGAAAAGAAGAGGAAUAAGAGGUGAAUCACACAAAAACGGACGAAAAAAGAGGAAGAAAACUUACCAACUCAAACUCGAACCAAUACUGGACUCCUCGAUUUAAUGAAACUGAUGCUAAUCACUUGUUCUUUGCCAAGAACAAAUGAAGAACAUCGAUUUGCAUUGAAUCAAGCUUUAAACUCGAAAGAAUUGGAAGCCUACGGUCAUGCAUGCCAACAGAUUCAAUGGAAAUUGAUUUUAGGCUUUUAGGGUUUCGAACUCAAAUUCAAUAUUCGAGGGGUUUUGCAAAGAUUCGAACGAGAUUGCGAAAAUGGAAGGCUGUGAGGAUUCUAUGGUGUUAAUUUGGGACUGAUUCGGGGUGGCACCGCCAGUCAGAGAUGGUGGAGAUUUAGGGGCGGUGCUAGGGUUAGGGGUGAUUCUAUGAAGAUGAAGACGAGAAGUGAGGGAGAUAAAAU
Molecule: long non-coding RNA, 7149 nt
Filed under: Nicotiana benthamiana
Lineage: Eukaryota; Viridiplantae; Streptophyta; Magnoliopsida; Solanales; Solanaceae
Description: long non-coding RNA (NBEN_LNC003637)
Source: RNAcentral